CCUACGGGUGGCAGCAGUGGGGAAUUUUGCGCAAUGCUCGUAAGAGUGACGCAGCGACGCCGCGUGAAUGACGAAGGCCUUCGGGUCGUAAAGUUCUUUCGUCAGGGAAGAAAAUGCCUAUAAGUAACUGUGUAUGUAUUGACGGUACCUGUAUAAGCAGCCCCGGCUAACUCCGUGCCAGCAGCCGCGGUAAUACGGAGGGGGCGAGCGUUGUUCGGAGUGAUUGGGCGUAAAGCGCACGUAGGCGGUGUUGUAAGUCUUGAGUCAAAGCCCAGGGGUCAACUUUGGUCAGGCUAGUGAUACUAUAAUACUAGAGUAUCAGAGAGGAAUGCAGAAUUCCAGGUGAAGCGGUGAAAUGCGUAGAUAUAAGGAGGAAUAC
RNAcentral lists this ribosomal RNA (379 nucleotides) under uncultured bacterium. RNAcentral describes it as "partial 16S ribosomal RNA". It matches the Rfam family "Bacterial small subunit ribosomal RNA", at positions 338 to 709 of the family's 1533-position model. The record is from RNAcentral.